Long non-coding RNA from Pectinophora gossypiella (pink bollworm), 718 nucleotides. RefSeq lists it as uncharacterized. The transcript has 3 exons. The record is from RefSeq and is a predicted model, not a curated record. NCBI's taxonomy places the organism in Eukaryota, Metazoa, Arthropoda, Insecta, Lepidoptera, Gelechiidae.
CUCAGAUUCUGACCAGUGACUAACUCAUACGAUGUCGGCUGGUAUCAUUGUGUUCACGCUAUGGUACAUCGUCCUCAUUUAUAAGAUUUUAACUGACUCAUUGCAGACUCCCCCUCCCCCGGAACAACCACGUCAAAAAGGCCAUAAAUGUUGCUGCGUAAUAUUAUGACUAUUGGACUAACUGCAAGAUUUGGCAGCCACGAGAAGACCACCCCUAUACGAAGCGCUGAUGCAACUAACUUAGCCUUAAUGGUAACGAGGCGAGAGCCCUAAGCGCUUUGGGAGUCCAAAUGACCCAUAUGGUGACAGGUACAGUUUGACAAAAAAAAAAGCGGCGAAUUAAAAAACAUAAUCACAAAAACUGAUUUCGUUACUUGAUACUUACUUGAGCUUAUAACCUGUCAACAUUAUGGUUCAUCAAAUCCACCGACCGCAAUACCAAGUCUAGUGAUUUACUAUCUUUGCUCACUUUUAAAGAGAUUAAGGGCGUGUAAUUGUGACUGAUACAAACUUUUUUAAACGUUACAUGUGUGAUAUGGUAUUCAUAGCCAAUUCACAAUUUUGCACUAUACUGAUCCAAGUUGUAUAAAACCCCCUGUUAUGUAGAAAAAAAAAUAAGGACAAUGAGCGAAAUAUUUGUACGGUCACAAGCAUUAAUAUGUAGGUAUCCACUUUGGUUCCAUGUCACAUUAACUUUUUUGACAAAUUGAACUGUAAG